This 269-nucleotide non-coding RNA is filed under the name Pan troglodytes (chimpanzee). Lineage: Eukaryota; Metazoa; Chordata; Mammalia; Primates; Hominidae. The record is from RNAcentral.
UUGCAGGAAUUUAGCCAAUUCAGAGAUCUUGUUCUCCAUAAUUUGGAAUUUUCCUUCGGAUUUGAUCAAGUUGGAUAGAGUUGGUCAAACCCAAUGGGAAAAAGAUGAAAACAACAAGAAACAGAAACAAACAACAACAGCAACAACAACAAAAACAAGAGAAGGUGGGUCAGCCACUAAAUGGUGCUGGGACCUUGCAGUUUGGUGGGAAGGAGGAAGCUUACUCAAGCAAGGAAGAUGAGACAGGCAGAAACCCACGCAUAAGUCAA